UACGUAGGGUGCAAGCGUUUAAUCGGAAUUACUGGGCGUAAAGCGUGCGCAGGCGGUUUUUGUAAGUCUGUCGUGAAAUCCCCCGGGCUCAACCUGGGGAAUUGCGAUGGAGACUGCAAGGCUAGAAUCUGGCAGAGGGGGGGUAGAAUUCCACGUGUAGCAGUGAAAUGCGUAGAGAUGUGGAGGAACACCGAUGGCGAAGGCAGCCCCCCUGGGGUCA
This 220-nucleotide ribosomal RNA is filed under the name uncultured bacterium. Its description in RNAcentral is "partial 16S ribosomal RNA". It matches the Rfam family "Bacterial small subunit ribosomal RNA", at positions 524 to 736 of the family's 1533-position model. The record is from RNAcentral.